UACGGAGGGAGCUAGCGUUGUUCGGAAUUACUGGGCGUAAAGCGCACGUAGGCGGCUAUUCAAGUCGGGGGUGAAAGCCCGGGGCUCAACCCCGGAACUGCCCUCGAAACUAGAUAGCUAGAAUCUUGGAGAGGCGAGUGGAAUUCCGAGUGUAGAGGUGAAAUUCGUAGAUAUUCGGAAGAACACCUGAGGCGAAGGCGGGCUACUGGGCCGAUACUGACGCUGAUGCGCGAAAGCCAGGGGAGCGAACGGG
RNAcentral lists this ribosomal RNA (253 nucleotides) under uncultured bacterium. RNAcentral describes it as "partial 16S ribosomal RNA". It matches the Rfam family "Bacterial small subunit ribosomal RNA", at positions 524 to 776 of the family's 1533-position model. The record is from RNAcentral.